CAGCAGCCACGGUAAUCCGAAGGGUGCAAGCGUUAAUCGGAAUUACUGGGCGUAAAGCGUGCGCAGGCGGUUGUGUAAGACAGGUGUGAAAUCCCCGGGCUCAACCUGGGAACUGCAUUUGUGACUGGCAAGCUAGAGUGUGGCAGAGGGGGGUGGAAUUCCGCGUGUAGCAGUGAAAUGCGUAGAUAUGCGGAGGAACACCGAUGGCGAAGGCAGCCCCCUGGGCCAACACUGACGCUCAUGCACGAAAGCGUGGGGAGCAAACAGGAUUAGAUACCCCAGUAGUCCCUGUCUCUUAUAC
Molecule: ribosomal RNA, 301 nt
Filed under: uncultured bacterium
Lineage: Bacteria
Description: partial 16S ribosomal RNA
Rfam family: Bacterial small subunit ribosomal RNA
Source: RNAcentral